Molecule: unclassified non-coding RNA, 389 nt
Filed under: uncultured Microbotryomycetes
Lineage: Eukaryota; Fungi; Basidiomycota; Microbotryomycetes
Description: sequence contains ITS1
Rfam family: 5.8S ribosomal RNA (bases 1-105)
Source: RNAcentral
GAAAUGUGAUAAGUAAUGUGAAUUGCAGAAUUCAGUGAAUCAUCGAAUCUUUGAACGCACCUUGCGCUCCCUGGUAUUCCGGGGAGCAUGUCUGUUUGAGUGUCAUGAACCCUUCAACCCACCGGUUUCAUUAUUGAAUCCGUGUUGGUGUUUGGAUUUUGAGUGUUGCUAUUGUGUUUGCACUUGCGUGCUUACUCUUGAAUAGCUCACUUGUAAUACAUUAGCAUCUCUAAUUCAAUGUCGGAUUGACUCAGUGUAAUAGACUACAUUCCGCUGAGGAUCACUUGGGAACGAGUGUGCCGAAUUUUAUCGAUUGAUGCUUCCAAUUGUAAUAGUCAAAUUUUUCAUUAUUAGACCUCAGAUCAGGCAGGAUUACCCGCUGAACUUAA